Molecule: transfer RNA, 71 nt
Filed under: Bankia setacea
Lineage: Eukaryota; Metazoa; Mollusca; Bivalvia; Myida; Teredinidae
Description: tRNA-Ile
Source: RNAcentral
CGGGUACUGUGCCAGAAAAUUGGGCUUUCUUGAUGUGAAAGAAGAUAAAGGUUUUAAUCCUUUCGGUGCCA